GAUGAACGCUGGCGGCGUGCCUAAUACAUGCAAGUCGAGCGAACGGACGAGAAGCUUGCUUCUCUGAUGUUAGCGGCGGACGGGUGAGUAACACGUGGAUAACCUACCUAUAAGACUGGGAUAACUUCGGGAAACCGUAGCUAAUACCGGAUAAUAUUUUGAACCGCAUGGUUCAAAAGUGAAAGACGGUCUUGCUGUCACUUAUAGAUGGAUCCGCGCUGCAUUAGCUAGUUGGUAAGGUAACGGCUUACCAAGGCAACGAUGCAUAGCCGACCUGAGAGGGUGAUCGGCCACACUGGAACUGAGACACGGUCCAGACUCCUACGGGAGGCAGCAGUAGGGAAUCUUCCGCAAUGGGCGAAAGCAUGACGGAGCAACGCCGCGUGAGUGAUGAAGGUCUUCGGAUCGUAAAACUCUGUUAUUAGGGAAGAACAUAUGUGUAAGUAACUGUGCACAUCUUGACGGUACCUAAUCAGAAAGCCACGGCUAACUACGU
This 496-nucleotide ribosomal RNA is filed under the name uncultured bacterium. RNAcentral's name for it is "partial 16S ribosomal RNA". It matches the Rfam family "Bacterial small subunit ribosomal RNA", at positions 28 to 506 of the family's 1533-position model. The record is from RNAcentral.